UGGGGGAUUUUGCGCAAUGGGCGAAAGCCUGAUGCAGCGACGCCGCGUGGGGGAUGAAGGCUUUCGGGUUGUAAACCUCUUUCGCUAUCGAACAAGGCCCGCUUAGGGUGGGUUGAGGGUAGGUGGAGAAGAAGCGCCGGCUAACUACGUGCCAGCAGCCGCGGUAAUACGUAGGGCGCGAGCGUUGUCCGGAAUUAUUGGGCGUAAAGGGCUUGUAGGCGGCUUGUUGCGCCUGCUGUGAAAACGCGGGGCUUAACUUCGCGCGUGCAGUGGGUACGGGCAGGCUUGAGUGUGGUAGGGGUGACUGGAAUUCCAGGUGUAGCGGUGGAAUGCGCAGAUAUCUGGAGGAACACCGAUGGCGAAGGCAGGUCACUGGGCCAUUACUGACGCUGAGGAGCGAAAGCAUGGGUAGCGAACAGG
This 420-nucleotide ribosomal RNA is filed under the name bacterium. Its description in RNAcentral is "partial 16S ribosomal RNA". It matches the Rfam family "Bacterial small subunit ribosomal RNA", at positions 355 to 776 of the family's 1533-position model. The record is from RNAcentral.